AUGAAUACUUGGAAUGAGGCAAGGCUGAGACUAAAUAAAAAUCAAACAAUUGACAAAAAUUUGCAGCAAGAAAUUGCAAAAGAAAAAGAGCGAUGGAGACAAGUUUUAAUAAGAAUUGUUGCUGCUCUUUAUCAAGAUAACAAUGGUAACUUUUUGGGAAUAAUAGAAAUGAUGGCAGAAUUUGAUCCUAUAAUGCAGGACCAUAUUAGGCGUAUUCAAAAUAGUGAAAUUCAUCAUCACUAUCUUGGCCAUAAGAUUCAAAAUGAGCUGAUUGAUAUUCUUGCACAAGGUGUUAAAAACACUAUCAUAAGGAUGAUUAAGGAUGCCUAUUUCUCUGUAAUUCUAGACUGUACCCCUGAUGUAAGCCAUCAAGAACAAAUGACUCUAAUUGUGAGGUGUGUAAACAUGUCCAGUAACACUACAAAAAUAGAAGAGUAUUUUCUGGAGUUCUUGAAGAUAAAUCCUAGAGCAUUGUACAUGCCAUGUUCCUGUCAUAGCCUCAAUCUUACACUUUGUGACAUGGCAAAAUCAUGUAGCAAAGCUAUGACCUUCUUUGGAGUUGUGCAACGAAUUUAUACAUUGUUUUUGGGUUCUACUAACAGAUGGGAGGUAUUGGUUAAUAAAUUUAAAGAUCUAACUUUGAAACCUUUGUGUGAUACUCCCUGGGAGAGUCGAAUAAAAAGUGUCCAAGCUAUUCGGUAUCAAGCUCCUCAGAUAUUGUUAGCUUUAUUGGAAUUGGAAAGAACUUCUAGUGAUGACCCAAAAACUAAGAGCGAUGCACAUUCUUUGGUUACUGCACUUAAGAAUUUUUGA
This 813-nucleotide ribosomal RNA is filed under the name Triticum aestivum (bread wheat). RNAcentral's name for it is "partial small subunit ribosomal RNA". Lineage: Eukaryota; Viridiplantae; Streptophyta; Magnoliopsida; Poales; Poaceae. The record is from RNAcentral.